GUGACAGCUGGAAAAAUAAUUUAGUGAAUAAGUUGUUUGUUGUGUGCAGUGUGGUGAAUUAUUAAGUAUGGUGUUCCUUGUUUUUAAUUGAAUUAAAAUUUAUGGAUUUCUAAUGUAGAGCUAGCUGAAAAGUAGCUCAACUAUAUAUUCAAUUAAAUCGAUUAAAGAAUAUGUUUAAAAUUGUUUUAAAUAUUGAUCUAUACAAUGUGUAGUAAUAGUGCAAAAUAGUACGACAAAGUGACAAUAUGCGAUCAAAAUAUCAUUGGACUGCUUUAAGUGCCUUAGUGUUGUGUUCGAUAUCAAACACAAUAUUUGCCAUAGGACACUCAGACUUUACGAAAAAUUAUCAGUAUUAUCCGAAGGAAUCUUCCUCGGAAAAUGAAAUUUAUUCCAAUAACCAAGUAUUAU
Long non-coding RNA from Ctenocephalides felis (cat flea), 408 nucleotides. RefSeq lists it as uncharacterized. NCBI's taxonomy places the organism in Eukaryota, Metazoa, Arthropoda, Insecta, Siphonaptera, Pulicidae. The record is from RefSeq and is a predicted model, not a curated record. The transcript is spliced from 2 exons.